UCAAAUCUAAAGGCGUUCUAGUACAAGAAUAAAACUAACGCUUUUAGUAAUUCCUAUCGUCUCGUCCAUCAUUCAAGAGGCAUUGGACUUUGCUAUUUUAGAUUUGUGGUCUAGACAAAAUAAAACUAUGUUGCUUAGGACUCGAAACGCGUAACACAUUGGAUAUCAUGUAGCAAGUAAUGUCUCACAUUAGCCCCUUGGUUAUUAAAGAGUUGAUUAAUGUGAUUAACAUGCAAAGACAAAUAAUUACUUAUUUUUGUGUCAUUAAGUAAUUGAGAAUGAAAAAAAUUACGUUUUAACAUAUUGGCAAUUAUUCUAAUUUCAUAUUAAUAUGCAGGAAAAUAAUAUAAAAAGGAAAAUAUUUAACAUGCUGAAAUUAAUGAUUAUACGCAGAGAUGCAGUUCAGACAUGCUGAAAUUUAAUUAUUUUAUGCAGAAACGCAAUUUUAACAUGCUGAAAUUUAAUAUUAACAUACUGAAAAAUACAUUAACGCAAUUAUUUUUGAUAUGCUGAAAAAUAUGUUAAUGCGCAAGAAUUUUCUUCUAUUAAUCAUGCUACAAUUUUAACCUGGACAAGCUUAAUUCUAAUGUCAACAUGCUACAAGCAUAUUAAUAUGCAGGAAUUUAAUUGUUGACAUGCUAAAAAAUACUAACAUGCUGAAAGUAAUUUUAAUAUGUUGAAACAUAUAAUGACAUGCUUAAUGUCAAUUUAAUUUGUUGACAUGCUAAAGAUAUAUUAAUAUGUUCAAUGCAAAUUAAUAUGCUACCAUACUAAAAAUAUAUUAAUAUGCUCAAUGUCAAUUAAUAUGGUAUGUCAAUUUUAGUUAGAUCAAGAAUAAUUAAAAAAGUCGUAGAUCAAGUGUCGAAACGAUUCAUAUGUUAAUAAAUUCUAAUUUUGUGUGCCUAAAUAAUCCACGUAGCAUGUAACGCACAUAAACCUAAAUUGUGCCUACCUAUAUUAUUCAUAGAGCACAUAAAUCUCCACCCUAAAGCAAUCCCCAAUAUUUAUUAUUACAUCAAUAGUAACAUAUGUACAAUAAUAUUACAAACCAAAUAACAAGAACAUAAAACUAAAUAGAACUAAUACAAUUUAUUGUAAACACCCCAGCAACUCUUGCGAUCUCCAAAACACCACCAAUACCUGUUAGAUACAAAUCGAAAGAGCACGACAAGCGCAAAACAAACAACUCAUGAUCCUAAACCACACAUCGUUUCAAAUAGAGGAAUCCAAGAAGAUACGUGCAUAUUAAGCAAGUAUUGUUUCAAAUUAGUUCCUAUAGAUAUGUUUUCUAUAGAAGUAAAAAAAUUGCAUUGAAUGGAAACAUACUGGUGAUGAUAAAUAAUAUAAUAAGAACUAAGAAGAAGACCAAAUAGCUCAAAAUCCAGAAAGCAAAUUACCACCGAGAGGUCAGAAUUAAAGCUCCAAAAGUAAGUAUAGAAGCGAUAAAAUAAGACUGUUUCUUUUCUGUUUCUUUUCCAAAAGUUUUGUAGAAGAGAGUAUAUGUAGUCUGUUGUAACUUCUCAAAAUAAGAGAAUAGGGGUUGUUUAUAUAGUGGAGGGAUAAAUCCACCAAGCCAUAAAAAGGAAAAGAGAAUAUGUUAUGUAAUCAAUCAAUCACAAUUAUAUCAUUCAAAUAAUUUAAAAUCAGUCUAAACUAAUAAAAGGAAAAGAGGUAUCAAUCAACAGAAUAUGUGAUGUAAUCAAUCAACCAAAUUGCCUUAAAUAUGAAGAUCACACAUACUAAUAUAAUCACUCAAAACAAAUAGAAGGAAAGAAAAAUAUCAAUUAAUCUAAAUUUUCUUUUUGAACAUGCAGACUAAUUAAGGAUAAUAAUUAAGGCAAAUCAUUAUGUCACUUAAGGCUAAAAUCGUGUAAAAUUCGAUAAAAGAAAUUAAAAAAGAAAAAGCAUAUUUAGGAUAAUCAAUCAGUCAAAUUUCCUUCUAUAAGCAUGAAAAUCAAUCAAAUUCUUGCCCUGAAGUAUUAAAUUCAAAUCAAUAAUAGUGAAGGAAAGAAAACACUGCCAAGAAAUCAGUACCAAAGCUUGUCACACACUAAACAAAAAGGGAAGAAAUUUCCCCAAUGCAGAAACUAACAAGAUCAGCUAAAUACCAAGUAAACCAAUUAGAACGGGAACAAAUAUAUGAGUAAAUCGACUUCGAUCUUUACCAAUAUGAUUAAACGAUUAUGAGCAAAUAAUCAACCGAACUCGUCAUGUCACAAUGCCAGUUAACACCAAUCACAUAAUAAAUUUCUUCAAAUAAAUAUUUUCAAGUAGAGAUCAUAUUCACAGAAUAACAAACCAUGAACACGAUAUUCGACCUAAUACAUACUAGUAUCAUUACAAUAGAUUCAACAAAAUUCAAUCUAGCAAUCAAGAACACAACAAUUAAAUCAUUCAGUGCCUGAUUCAGAAAAUAGCGUCAGCUAAGCAUGAAAUCGAAAUAUUUGAAACAAAGAAAAUCAGAUCGAAGCCACCCCACGUAUUUCACAUCCACAAACAAAAUAAAGUAAAUCCAAGAACAAUCUUACCGGAGACAAAUUCAUCAUGCAAAAAAUGUUGGAAUUGAAUCCUUGACACUCUCGCGGGUUCGGUCAGAGCAAGCGAAGGCGCUAGUGAGGUUGCCGAUGGUGGCUACGAUGGAGAGGACGAACAGAGGGAGAUGGCAGCGGUUCAAGUGGCGACUGGCUUUACUAUUAUGCCGGCAGAGCCGGCUGGUCUGCUGGUGGUUGAUUCGCCGUAGCUGGCGGAGGCUGGUUCCGUUGGAGUUUUGGUGGUGAGCGUUGCGGCGAUUGGUGGCGGCGCUGGUCGCUGGUUUGGCUGAGGAUAAUGGGUCGUCGGUCGGUGGUGGUUUCUAGAACGAUGCUUCACCGGUCAUUACCUCCGGUGAAUCGACAACGACGGGAGGCAACGCCGAUUUCACGGCUGGACUGAUCAUUUUGGUGGAGCGGCGGCAUCGAUGAAGAGAAGAAAGUGGGGCGGCGGUGGCUGGUUUAUCGGAGGCGGGAGAGGGAGUCCGGCGAAUAGAGGGAUGGUUCGUCGUGAUGGACGCCGACGAAGGUGGUGGCGGCGGCGGUUUGAGUGUUUCUUUUUUUUAGAGAGAAAAUGGAGAGAGAUGAGAGGUAGAGAGAGAGGGAGUUAGGCGGCUUAGAAGAUGAAGAGAGAUGAGAGGUAGAGAGAGAAGGAGUUAGGCGGCUUAUUUUUUGUGAAAAUGAAUUAGGGUUCGGUGUUUUGAACUAAAAAGGACAGAGGAGAAGGG
Molecule: long non-coding RNA, 3256 nt
Filed under: Capsicum annuum
Lineage: Eukaryota; Viridiplantae; Streptophyta; Magnoliopsida; Solanales; Solanaceae
Description: long non-coding RNA (CANN_LNC000917)
Source: RNAcentral